Long non-coding RNA from Mauremys reevesii (Reeves's turtle), 3253 nucleotides. RefSeq lists it as uncharacterized. The transcript has 12 exons. NCBI's taxonomy places the organism in Eukaryota, Metazoa, Chordata, Testudines, Geoemydidae. The record is from RefSeq and is a predicted model, not a curated record.
CGCGCUGAGGCAGCGCUACGGACACGGCUCUGCUGUCAAUAGCACCCCUCCCCCUCCCCGCUGGCGCGCGCUCCACCCCCUCCCCGCUAGCGCGCGCUCCCGCACUAGCAACCCAACCGCCACUCACCGGGGGGAGGGGGGAAUGUCACCCAGAGCCCCAGACCCUGGGGAGAGAGACAGUCAUUCACCAUCAGCCCCAUGGACUUGUCAAGAUUAGUUUCAGGGGGCAGUGGCACAGCAAACUUCUCCAUAGUGCCCUGCCAAUGAGCUUCAACCCUGAACUGAAGAGAAAACAUUUAAUGGUCUGGGGAGAGGCUAAGUGGGAGUGGAAGAGAAGCAGGAAGUUACAGAGAAAGUGGUGAAGUGCAGUGCAUUCUAUAGGCCUGUCGCCUGUUAACUGCAGUCUUGGUGAAUAUCAAAAAAAGGCCCUGAUCUUGGAAGCUGCUUGACACAGUCACACCCCUGCGCCAGCAUGCAGCCCAUUGACUUCUUUGGGACUCCGGACUGGCUCAGGAAUCUGCCUGCAUAGUUCAGCUUCCAGGCUCAGAACCUAAAUAGGUGUGUGAAGGAGCUUUCAUUAUUGUAAUUUCUACAUAAGCCCAGAUCCUGCAGUUGACUCUGUGUGGGUAGGACUCUAUUGAAGUCAAUGAGGCUCCACACUGGGGACGGGUUCUACCUGUGAGAAGUCAGUUGCAUGGUCGGGGCCCUAGUGUGACGCCUCAGGGUGCAUUCUGGAGCCUGCUUACCAAGAUAAUGUCACCUUUGUCUACAGUGCUGAUACAUAUACUAAUGUAAUGUUUUAUGGCUCUCAUAAGCAUGAAGUGUACAAACUCUAUGUCUAAGGUACUCUGAAAUUGCACGGACUUAAUGCCAACCACUGUAAAGUCAUGGCUACCACUGAACCCUGCUAGAGUCUGGAGCUGAUGCAUAAGGGCUCAAGUAUAUGACUUUCAUUAUAUGUCAUGGGUUUGUAAUUUUUUUUUUUUUUUUGCAAAACCAUACUGUUAAAAUAAUAAUAAUUCCUGCCACUUACUGGCACAACUCUUGACCAGAAUCACAGUAGCUGUGAUGUUGCAGCAGAUCAACGGUCCACUGACACAAAUUUUAGAAGUCUAAAAAGGGGAAUGGAAGGGGAGGUUAAUUUGAAAUUAGUCAUGUGCUGAAUGUCCCACUUAUGCUUAUUUAGCUGAGGUAAUCACAAGAAAAAAAAUAACUCUUUUAAAAAAUAAAGUUUGUAUUUUUUAGAAAACCCCCAGGGUAUUAUCUUGUAUGAACUCUGAACAUUUUGUAUUUUAACAUAAAAGUAAUUAAUAAUUACACACUGUACAUAUGGAAAUACAGGUUUGAUCCUCAUAAUAAAUUAAUACAAUUUAGCUUUCUUUAAUGUGUAUGCUACAGGGUGGAUUCUAAAUUCCAGUGUAUUUUUUACAUUUAAAACAAAUGAGACUAUUUAUGAGAGUAAGGAUAUAUAUGUGUAAUACAGAAAGUAUGCAUAUUUUAUUUACUGAACACUAGUGCCUUCACACAACCUAUUUUUUGUUGACAUUUGUUUAUUUUCUCUGGGAGAAUGACAGAUCUGCAGCACAACAUAAUACCAAUCCAAAGGCCAGAGUUUCAGAGCAGACUGGAUUUCAGAAACACACAAACUUCAAAAAGUAAUAGACUACUUUGAAGAAACCAAAACCAUCAACAAGUUAAAAACUCAUUGGUGAAAGCUGAUGAGUUGACUGCACUGGAAACUCAGGUCUUCUCUUCAUCCAUGUUGUAGGAUUGCAGGCUUUUCAACAUUAUCCUGUUCAUUGGCCCUGCCCUGGAAAAACUACAUACAGACCUGGUCACAAAUUGGCAAGUUUCCUACUAACCUCACUGAUGUCUCAUCUGCUCUUUGACCUGUCGGGUUAGAGAAGCUUUCCUCCCACCCGCCUUUGAGUACUACCCUUACACUGCUGUGAUUACGUGGACCUGGCAAAUGCCACAGUGAUCUCAGAAUGUGACACAUCCAGGAUUCCGUGCUGAGGAUCUCAUAAAAGAGGAUAUGAAAAUUCAUAAAGCAAGAAUACAGACGAAAUACGCCUUCUGAAUUACAACAAGAUCACUAACUUUUUAUGGACAGCUGAGAAGGUAACCAAAAUAUGUGCUGUGUAGUUCCUACCUGGUUUCUGAAAUCUGCACAAUGCUGGGUGUAUAGUGCUGUGAAGAUUGCUUGGAAGCAAAGGCAACUGCCUGGACUAAUGUUAAGGGUGGUGUACAUCUGAAGCCUAGGCUACACAGUGUAAAUGCAGUUGAUUCCAGGUUCUCCCAGCUGUGAUCAGGACUUGAAACCACAUUACUUUGGCAGUGAGUUUCUAGAUCUCAGUGUUCCAGGCAAAGAAAGCCAGGCCUUGGAGCAUUUGCUGUUCGUGGUGGACAUGAGACUCUUGGCAUAGGGAAUUUAUAUACAUGGCUUUUCUUUCCGGUGGUGAUGGUAGUGAGGACUUAGGGUGGCACAGGUGGAAAACAAAUCUCAGGUGUACUCUUAGGGCACUCAGAAAUUAAUGCAGACUCCCUUACAUUUGAGUAACAGUUCAUCAGGCUUUGUGAUCAUAGUGGUUGUGUUCAGGUGAUUUAUCAGUUAAGCUUUGGACUCAAUACAGUAUUUCCUCUCCAGCAGGAAACCAUUACCUAUCUGGCCACAGGAAACGUUUAAAGUUUUCAUACUAAUGAAUCUCUCUCCCUGUUGCCUGUGUGAACCACGAAGAUUUUGAAGAUACAAGUAUUUUCCAUCAAGAUAUGAAUAACACUACUUGGCAAACUAUCCUAUAACAAAAAAACAAGCCUCCAACUUUUUUUUAGUGACUUUACAUACAAUGUGCCUUAAUUACUGGCAAGCAUGUCAAGAGCCUAUUCCCACAUGUGUCAACACUUCCUUAAUACACUGUAAUUCAUCAUGUUAGCAUGGCAGAAACAAGGUACUCCAUAUCUUUACACACAUCCUUCUCCAAGUUUUGGUCCUGAACUGCGUAUUAAAUGAACAUGAAGUCUUCGUCUAGUGAACAAAGAACAGACCACAGCAUCGAAACAGUAAGGUCCCUCGAGUCAAUCAAAGUCAUACAUCACAGAGCACUUUAUCAUAUUCUUCACAACACUGCCUAAAUCCAAGAAGCACUGCUUUAUUGUCAGAAGGACAUUCACUUAAUAACAGUAAUAAAUCCAGAAAGGCAAGCUAAUUUUAGACAGAAAUCUUGGCUAAGAGAGAACCCUAUCAUUUCUCACU